RNAcentral lists this ribosomal RNA (394 nucleotides) under uncultured bacterium. RNAcentral's name for it is "partial 16S ribosomal RNA". It matches the Rfam family "Bacterial small subunit ribosomal RNA", at positions 338 to 730 of the family's 1533-position model. The record is from RNAcentral.
CCUACGGGGGGCAGCAGUGAGGAAUAUUGGUCAAUGGGCGGGAGCCUGAACCAGCCAAGCCGCGUGAGGGAAGAAGGUACAGCGUAUCGUAAACCUCUUUUGUCAGGGAACAAAGGCUGGGACUAGUCCUCGGAUGAGGGUACCUUAUGAAAAAGCAUCGGCUAACUCCGUGCCAGCAGCCGCGGUAAUACGGAGGAUGCGAGCGUUAUCCGGAUUUAUUGGGUUUAAAGGGUGCGCAGGCGGCCUGUUAAGUCAGCGGUAAAAGCCCGGGGCUCAACCCAGACGAGCCGUUGAAACUGGGGGGCUGGAGUUGGCUAGAGGUAGGCGGAAUGCGUGGUGUAGCGGUGAAAUGCUUAGAUAUCGCGCAGAACCCCGAUUGCGAAGGCAGCCUGCC